GGUAACAGAACUUUUUACACUUGUCAAAUUUAAACAAUAUUGGCAAAAUUUUAAUCAAAAAAUAAAAAAUAAAAAAGACACGUGUCAAAACCACAUUUGUUGUAAGUAGGAGCUUCUCUUCAAUUUUAAGGAACGAAGCAUUUUUCUUUUAUUAUUUCGAGAAAUGAAAGAUGGUCGACAAGAAUUUGAUGACUUGGAUGGUUAUUGAGCUCAAUAUGAGUUAUGUCCCCGGGUUACUAUGAGAUUCUUACUAUACAAGAAAAAAAAUAAACAAUUAGUAAUUACAAACACCCAUAAUUAGGGCUGGCAAGAUUUGCUUUCAACCCCCUGUCGAACAAUCAAACAACUUCAAAUGAAGGCUCCCUAAAAGUUCUAUUUAUAGUAAUAUUUGGGGUUACAUGAUUAGGAAUAAGAAUUAAAUCAGGAAUCAAAUCACAACUAUAGGAAAUUUAAACAAGCAAACCUGCCGAGCAUUCUAACCGGUCACCAGGAUUGGGAGACCGAUCGACCUCGAACUCACACUCCCGUACAUUCUGACCCGAGCCGGUUUGGAUGCCUUCUUUGGUGAAUCAUUAUCCAC
Molecule: long non-coding RNA, 580 nt
Filed under: Prunus persica (peach)
Lineage: Eukaryota; Viridiplantae; Streptophyta; Magnoliopsida; Rosales; Rosaceae
Description: long non-coding RNA (PPER_LNC003233)
Source: RNAcentral